Molecule: transfer RNA, 72 nt
Filed under: Mycobacteroides abscessus
Lineage: Bacteria; Bacillati; Actinomycetota; Actinomycetes; Mycobacteriales; Mycobacteriaceae
Also listed under: 1 other name
Description: tRNA-???(tg)
Rfam family: tRNA
About the family: Transfer RNA (tRNA) molecules are approximately 80 nucleotides in length.
Source: RNAcentral
AAUGGCGUAGACCAACGGUAGGUCACCAGUUAUUGGAAACUGGAUGUGCGGGUUCAAGUCCCGUCGUCAAUA